AGUGAACGCUGGCGGUAGGCCUAACACAUGCAAGCCGAACGGCAGCACAGUAAGAGCUUGCUCUUACGGGUGGCGAGUGGUGGACGGGUGAGGAAUACAUCGGAAUCUACUUUUUCGUGGGGGAUAACGUAGGGAAACUUACGCUAAUACCGCAUACGACCUACGGGUGAAAGCAGGGGAUCUUCGGACCUUGCGCGAUUGAAUGAGCCGAUGUCGGAUUAGCUAGUUGGCGGGGUAAAGGCCCACCAAGGCGACGAUCCGUAGCUGGUCUGAGAGGAUGAUCAGCCACACUGGAACUGAGACACGGUCCAGACUCCUACGGGAGGCAGCAGUGGGGAAUAUUGGACAAAGGGCGCAAGCCUGAUCCAGCCAUACCGCGUGGGUGAAGAAGGCCUUCGGGUUGUAAAGCCCUUUUGUUGGGAAAGAAAAGCAGCAGGUUAAUACCCCGCUGUUCUGAAGGUACCCAAAGAAUAAGCACCGGCUAACUUCGUG
RNAcentral lists this ribosomal RNA (492 nucleotides) under uncultured bacterium. RNAcentral describes it as "partial 16S ribosomal RNA". It matches the Rfam family "Bacterial small subunit ribosomal RNA", at positions 29 to 507 of the family's 1533-position model. The record is from RNAcentral.